UACGGAAGGUCCGGGCGUUAUCCGGAUUUAUUGGGUUUAAAGGGAGCGUAGGCCGGGUUUUAAGCGUGCCGUGAAAUGUCGGGGCUCAACCUUGACACUGCGGCGCGAACUGGAGUCCUUGAGUGCGCGGAACGUAUGCGGAAUUCGUGGUGUAGCGGUGAAAUGCUUAGAUAUCACGAAGAACUCCUAUUGCGAAGGCAGCUCACUAAACUGCAACUGACGCUGAAGCUCGAAGGCGCGGGUAUCGAACAGG
RNAcentral lists this ribosomal RNA (253 nucleotides) under uncultured bacterium. Its description in RNAcentral is "partial 16S ribosomal RNA". It matches the Rfam family "Bacterial small subunit ribosomal RNA", at positions 524 to 776 of the family's 1533-position model. The record is from RNAcentral.